UAGACGCAGGUCAUCAACCUGCAUCGAUUACGUCCCUGCCCUUUGUACACACCGCCCGUCGCUUCUACCGAUUGGUCGUCCCGGUGAACAAUCGGGAGGCCGUGCUCAUGGUCAGCAAUGGCCGGAGCGCGGUUGAACUUUUGUAAAUUUGGACGACUAGAGGAAGAAGAAGUCGUAACAAGGUUUCCGUAGGUGAACCAGCGGAAGGAU
This 210-nucleotide ribosomal RNA is filed under the name Polymyxa graminis f. sp. temperata. RNAcentral describes it as "partial 18S ribosomal RNA". It matches the Rfam family "Eukaryotic small subunit ribosomal RNA", at positions 1618 to 1826 of the family's 1831-position model. Lineage: Eukaryota; Endomyxa; Phytomyxea; Plasmodiophorida; Plasmodiophoridae. The record is from RNAcentral.